This 460-nucleotide ribosomal RNA is filed under the name uncultured bacterium. Its description in RNAcentral is "partial 16S ribosomal RNA". It matches the Rfam family "Bacterial small subunit ribosomal RNA", at positions 338 to 795 of the family's 1533-position model. The record is from RNAcentral.
CCUACGGGCGGCUGCAGUGAGGAAUAUUGGUCAAUGGACGAGAGCCUGAACCAGCCAAGUAGCGUGAAGGAUGACUGCCCUAUGGGUUGUAAACUUCUUUUAUAUGGGAAUAAAAUGUUCCACGUGUGGGCUUUUGUAUGUACCAUAUGAAUAAGGAUCGGCUAACCCCGUGCCAGCAGCCGCGGUAAUACGGAGGAUCCGAGCGUUUUCCGGAUUUAUUGGGUUUAAAGGGAUCGUAGGGGGUUUGAUAAGUCAGUUGUUAAAGUUUGCGGGUCAACCGUAAAAUUGCAGUUGAAACUGGCAGUCUUGAGUACAGUAGAGGUGGGCGGAAUUCGUGGUGUAGCGGUGAAAUGCUUAGAUAUCACGAAGAACUCCGAUUGCGAAGGCAGCUCACUGGACUGCAACUGACACUGAGGCUCGAAAGUGUGGGUAUCGAACAGGAUUAGAUACCCGGGUAGUC